This 207-nucleotide ribosomal RNA is filed under the name uncultured bacterium. Its description in RNAcentral is "partial 16S ribosomal RNA". It matches the Rfam family "Bacterial small subunit ribosomal RNA", at positions 568 to 774 of the family's 1533-position model. The record is from RNAcentral.
AGCGUAGACGGAGUGGCAAGUCUGAUGUGAAAACCCGGGGCUCAACCCCGGGACUGCAUUGGAAACUGUCAAUCUAGGGUACCGGAGAGGUAAGCGGAAUUCCUAGUGUAGCGGUGAAAUGCGUAGAUAUUAGGAGGAACACCAGUGGCGAAGGCGGCUUACUGGACGGUAACUGACGUUGAGGCUCGAAAGCGUGGGGAGCAAACA